AUUGAACGCUGGCGGCAUGCUUUACACAUGCAAGUCGAACGGUAACAGGCCGCAAGGUGCUGACGAGUGGCGAACGGGUGAGUAAUGCAUCGGAACGUGCCCAGUCGUGGGGGAUAACUACUCGAAAGAGUAGCUAAUACCGCAUACGAUCUAUGGAUGAAAGCGGGGGACCGUAAGGCCUCGCGCGAUUGGAGCGGCCGAUGUCAGAUUAGGUAGUUGGUGGGGUAAAGGCUCACCAAGCCAACGAUCUGUAGCUGGUCUGAGAGGACGAGCAGCCACACUGGGACUGAGACACGGCCCAGACUCCUACGGGAGGCAGCAGUGGGGAAUUUUGGACAAUGGGCGCAAGCCUGAUCCAGCAAUGCCGCGUGCAGGAAGAAGGCCUUCGGGUUGUAAACUGCUUUUGUACGGAACGAAACGGCUCUGGUUAAUACCCGGGGCUAAUGACGGUACCGGAAGAAUAAGCACCGGCUAACUACGUG
RNAcentral lists this ribosomal RNA (482 nucleotides) under uncultured bacterium. RNAcentral's name for it is "partial 16S ribosomal RNA". It matches the Rfam family "Bacterial small subunit ribosomal RNA", at positions 30 to 507 of the family's 1533-position model. The record is from RNAcentral.